Molecule: long non-coding RNA, 1343 nt
Filed under: Chloebia gouldiae (Gouldian finch)
Lineage: Eukaryota; Metazoa; Chordata; Aves; Passeriformes; Passeridae
Description: Erythrura gouldiae (Gouldian finch) lncRNA (ENSEGOG00005011485.1)
Source: RNAcentral
CAGGCACUCAUCUGAGCUGCUCUGGUCGUGGCAGGAGGACAGGACCACAAAGGCAUUUUUGUGUCAGCUCCCAAGGAAGCACCCUGUGAGCAGAGGCUUUCUUCCAGCUGUUUCUCAGCAGGCUCAGCACCCCACACCACCAGGCAGUGUGUGCUAUGAAGCCUCUGGUGGGGACUGGAGGUGGGAGGUGGGCAGCUGGCAAGGAUCCAAACUGGUCUGCACUGGACAGUGGGCCUGCAAAGGGAGAGGAACUCCACAGCCCUGGGACAGCACCUGUGCUGUGUCAGCAGAGGGUCACGUCUGAAAGAGUGACAUUGCAAGAGGACACUCCAUGGAAAAGUGGAUUUUGAAGACUUCAUCACUCUACCUGUGUCUAAUCUAAUCAGUCCUGGCAUUUAUUUAUGGCAGACAAUUGCUGCUGUCACAGUGUUCAUUUAGUCAUUAAAAAUCCAGCAUUUUUGUGAUUCCUAGAAAGGAAAAAGGGUUGGGACAGAAUUCCAUGCAGCUGUGUGCAGUGUACAAUGCUCUGAAGUAAUUUGUUUCUCAUGAGCUGUUGAAAUGACACCCAGGGACUCAGAGGAUAAUAAGCCAAAUUAGGGAUGACUUUAACAUCCCUCUGCAAAGGGGGUCAUUGUCCUUCCAGAUAGCACCUGGACAUGCUGAGUUGCCACAGUCAGUUGGAGAGAAAAAGCAAGGAGUUGAUCUGGAUUAGUUCAAAUAUAACCACCAGUGUCAGUCCUCAAGUGAUGUUCUGACAGUUUGGGUAAAACAAAUCUUUUUGCCCCAGUGUGACAUCUUCCACAUGGGCACUGAAAACUCCCUGGUUGUCUGUGCUCCUGGAACUGGAGUCUUCAGUGAGGAAACAGCCUAGUAGGAGACAGAGGAGGAGGAAGGUCAAGUGUCUUGGAACACGUGGGCAGAAGUCUUGAUGGCAGCACAGGGUCUCUCAGAGUGGAGCUGAGAAUUGGGCAGGGACGAGGUCCUGUGCACCACAUUGCCUGAAGGUUCUGACUCCUGGCCUCCUCACAGGAACCAUCAGUGUGAAACACCUUUUUUUACCUGCUUCCCUUGAAUCCCUUCUGCCUCCAUUUGAAUGUGUCCCUGAGACUGACAAAGAUAAAAUCCUCCUUUUCAUCUGAUGCUCAUAAGGUGUUUGUUAUUGCCUCAGCUUCCCUUUCCAAGGUGUGUGGCAUGAAUGGACAUAACCAAAAAUGACCCCUCAGAGUUCAUAGUGCCAGCACUUUGUCCUCCUGCAAUGGUCCUCCCCAUUCUCCAGGCAGCUCCCAGUUAAUCCUGGGAAAAAGAUGCAUUUAACUCAUCAAUAAAACAAAACAAAACAAACA